Molecule: ribosomal RNA, 301 nt
Filed under: uncultured bacterium
Lineage: Bacteria
Description: partial 16S ribosomal RNA
Rfam family: Bacterial small subunit ribosomal RNA
Source: RNAcentral
CAGUCGCCACGGUAAAACGGAGGGUGCAAGCGUUAAUCGGAAUUACUGGGCGUAAAGCGCACGCAGGCGGUCUGACAAGUCAGAUGUGAAAUCCCCGGGCUUAACCUGGGAACUGCAUUUGAAACUGUCAGGCUGGAGUCUUGUAGAGGGGGGUGGAAUUCCAGGUGUAGCGGUGAAAUGCGUAGAGAUCUGGAGGAAUACCGGUGGCGAAGGCGGCCCCCUGGACAAAGACUGACGCUCAGGUGCGAAAGCGUGGGGAGCAAACAGGAUUAGAUACCCCUGUAGUCCCUGUCUCUUAUAA